This is a long non-coding RNA of Nicotiana tabacum (common tobacco), 663 nucleotides long. RefSeq lists it as uncharacterized. The record is from RefSeq and is a predicted model, not a curated record. Lineage: Eukaryota; Viridiplantae; Streptophyta; Magnoliopsida; Solanales; Solanaceae.
UGUGCGUCAUCCCCUUCCCAGCCGCCUCCCCAUUUCUUUCAUUUUCCCAUUGUCUUCUUCAACAACAAUUUCUCUCAAACCAACGAAAUCAUUGGCUAGAUAGUCCGGCGCCUUCUCUCUUUCCAGUAUUGUGAUAGGUAUUGAGUGGAACCUUCAAGAUUAUAAUUUAAUGUUGGGAGGAGCCACAGUUCGUCGAAAAGACAUUACAAAUAUAAAUUAGAUGAAAAUCCUUUCAAAAGUUAUAGAAAAGUAUUCAGGGUGCAUUUUAAUCUGUUAAAUGCAAGCAGAUCAAAGAUCAGUCUUGAUGCAAAGAGUGAAAUUACUUUAUCGUUGCUAAUCCAGUGGCAACAUCUUUAGCUACGACGUAGAAUACCUCGAUCCAUCCGAUUUUGAAUAAAAAUAUUUGGCACUUCACCGCUACAUAAAUUGAGUGCAUUCAAAUUCAGAAAUGAAAGCACAUAAAAAUGGGAGGAAACUUGUUCAUGGCACACCCAUAUUUAUCUUGUUAAAAUUCACGGGAAUGUAUAGGAAAAUUGUGUCUUUAGUUUAAAAGUUGGUGGUUAACAAUGAAGGGUCACAACUUUUUAGAAAAGGCACAAUAUUAAUUAAUAUUUCUGUAGAUAUUUAUUUAAUUAUUGUUAAAAGGGUAUAUUGGUAAUUUAA